RNAcentral lists this ribosomal RNA (452 nucleotides) under Fusarium oxysporum. RNAcentral's name for it is "eukaryotic LSU rRNA". The stretch from base 130 to 283 matches the Rfam family "5.8S ribosomal RNA". The record is from RNAcentral. Lineage: Eukaryota; Fungi; Ascomycota; Sordariomycetes; Hypocreales; Nectriaceae.
ACCCCUGUGAACAUACCACUUGUUGCCUCGGCGGAUCAGCCCGCUCCCGGUAAAACGGGACGGCCCGCCAGAGGACCCCUAAACUCUGUUUCUAUAUGUAACUUCUGAGUAAAACCAUAAAUAAAUCAAAACUUUCAACAACGGAUCUCUUGGUUCUGGCAUCGAUGAAGAACGCAGCAAAAUGCGAUAAGUAAUGUGAAUUGCAGAAUUCAGUGAAUCAUCGAAUCUUUGAACGCACAUUGCGCCCGCCAGUAUUCUGGCGGGCAUGCCUGUUCGAGCGUCAUUUCAACCCUCAAGCACAGCUUGGUGUUGGGACUCGCGUUAAUUCGCGUUCCUCAAAUUGAUUGGCGGUCACGUCGAGCUUCCAUAGCGUAGUAGUAAAACCCUCGUUACUGGUAAUCGUCGCGGCCACGCCGUUAAACCCCAACUUCUGAAUGUUGACCUCGGAUCAG